Molecule: long non-coding RNA, 291 nt
Filed under: Brassica rapa (field mustard)
Lineage: Eukaryota; Viridiplantae; Streptophyta; Magnoliopsida; Brassicales; Brassicaceae
Description: long non-coding RNA (BRAP_LNC000454)
Source: RNAcentral
UGGCGGGAAAACAUGAUUUUUUUUUUUGUUUCGGCGGGAAAAUUUUAUUUUUGGUUUUGGCGGGAAAAGAUGAUUUCUCGGUUUUGGUGUGAAAACAUAGUUUAUCGGUUUUGGCGGGAAAACAAAAUUUCUCGGUUUUGGUGGGAAAUUGUGAUUUAUGGGUUUAAGCGGAAAUUUUUUUUUUUACGGUUUUGGUAGGAAAACAAAAUUUUAUAAUUUUGUUGAAAAAGUAAUUUUGUAAUUUUUGAGAGAAAGUGUAAUUUUAAAAUAGGCUUGUACAUAUAUUCUUUC